CAUGCAUGCCUUUUGCACCACUAAUUCAACAAUCUUCAACCAUCGAGCAAGCAAAGAUGUCACUUGAUCUCCAUCACUAAAAAACCACCUUAAUUAUUUCUAAUUAUGUUCCUUUUGCACCACCAGUUCAGGAACUGUUAGGGAUUCGAUCAAACAAAUUAAGAUGUCAUUAGUUAAUUUUCAUGGUCCCACCCUAAUAAUUGUAUCCCUUUCAUUCAUCGGCCUAUCCAAACUUGUUAUCUGUUCCAAUUCGAUUCACUACAUCCACCACUAUUGCUCCUUAGAAGUUAACAAAGCCCAAAACGGCUCGUUCCAAGACAACGUUAACAAACUCCUCACCGAACUCUCCUCGAAAUCCUCGGGCACCAGCUUCUACAACUCCACCUCCGGAGACAACGACAAAAAAGUGUACGGCCUGUACCUUUGUCGAGGUUCUGUCAAGUCCGGAGUCUGCCACGACUGCAUCGACUCCGCUGCCAAGAACCUCAAACAAAAUUGCACCAACAACAGGGAAUCUAUCGUUUGGUAUGAGGAAAUGCAUGUUGGGAUAUUCGAACCGCUCCAUCUCUGCCACGGAGGAGGAGCUUCCGUGGCGAUAUUGGUGCAGUGUGAACAAAGAGUCAAACGAAGACCAGUUUAAUCAGAGCUUGUUGAGUUUGAUGAAUGGUCUUGUGGACAAAGCUGUUGGCAAUACCACACCAAUUUAUUUUGCAACCGGGGAUGACAAGAAAGGCAACGGAGGGACGUCGAUAUAUUGUUUGUUGCAAUGUACUCCGGACAUAAAUGGGACUGGCUGUCAAAGGUGUUUGAGGGCAGGUAUCGGUUGGUAUCAGGAGACUUGUGAGGUGAGGGAAGAACAUGGGGUAUGAUUUUUUCGCCAAGCUGUCAGUUGAGGUACGGGCCUGACCUCUUUUACGGGGAAGGAAAACCAACCAAAAGUGGUGGAACAGGGAAGAGAAAAUCUUUCGUUGCUGUUAGAGUCACCGUUCAAGUUGUUGUGGCGGUACUCUGGGUUAUUGGUUAAUCUGGGUGCAUGACAGGAAUGCCAAAGAGAAAAGCCAUGCAUGCAUGUCAAGAAAGCGCUUCCCAUUUCACCUAGAGUUGCUGUGGUCUGGGCGAGCGUUGGGCCAUGCACAUCUGGGAUGAUUCUCUGUGGCACCCACGCAGCAAUUUUUGAAGAGUAUUUACCCUAAAUGGAGUAUGGAUAGAGCCAGAUACAUACAGUUGUAUUUAAAUGUGUGUUUAGGGCCUUGGGCCGGCCAAUGUACUCUGUAAAAAGAAGAUAUAUUUUUCGUACAUUUAAUUUUGUUUUGAAAUUUAGGUUAAACUCCAUAAUCAUGCUAAAAUUUUAUAUUAGACGUGAUUAUCUGACUAUAAUAUAAUUUUUUUUUUUAUGAA
Malus domestica (apple) is the source of this 1398-nucleotide non-coding RNA. The record is from RefSeq and is a predicted model, not a curated record. Lineage: Eukaryota; Viridiplantae; Streptophyta; Magnoliopsida; Rosales; Rosaceae.